GUUAUACUCCCUCGUCCCAAAAUUCUUGUCUUAGAUUUGUCUAGAUACGGAUAUAUCUAAUACUAAAACGUGACUUGAUACAUCCGUAUUUAGACAAAUCUAAGACAAGAAUUUUGGGACGGAGGGAGUAUGUU
Non-coding RNA from Triticum urartu, 134 nucleotides. The record is from Rfam. NCBI's taxonomy places the organism in Eukaryota, Viridiplantae, Streptophyta, Magnoliopsida, Poales, Poaceae.